AGUGGAUGGGGAGCAACCUAGUUGUGCGUGUGUAAAGGUAGUGCCAAGAAAAGCGAUGAUCAUGUUGAAAAUCAAUUCCCGGUACCCGAAACCGACACAGGUGGGCAAGUAGAGAAUACUAAGGGGCGCGAGGUAACUCUCUCCAAGGAACUCGGCAAAAUACCCCGUAACUUAGGGAGAAGGGGUGCCACCGAGAGGUGGUCGCAGUGAAGAGGCCCAGGCGACUGUUUAGCAAAAACAUAGGUCUCUGCAAACUCGAAAGAGGAGGUAUAGGGGCUGACGCCUGCCCAGUGCCGGAAGGUUAAAGAAGUUGGUCAGUUUUAGGAUGAAGCUAGCGACUGAAGCCCCGGUGAACGGCGGCCGUAACUAUAACGGUCCUAAGGUAGCGAAAUUCCUUGUCGGGUAAGUUCCGACCCGCACGAAAGGCGUAACGAUCUGGGCGCUGUCUCGGAGAGAGGCUCGGCGAAAUAGGAUUGUCUGUGAAGAUACGGACUACCUGCAUUUGGACAGAAAGACCCUAUGAAGCUUUACUAUAGCUUGGAAUUGUGUUCGGGCUUCCUGUGCGCAGGAUAGGUGGGAGGCGUAGAAGGUAUUCUUGUGGGGAUACUGGAGCCAACGGUGAGAUACCACUCUCAGGAGGCUAGAAUUCUAACUUAAUUAAGGACAGUUUCAGGUGGGUAGUUUGACUGGGGCGGUCGCCUCCAAAAAGGUAACGGAGGCGUACAAAGGUUCCCUCAGACUGGUUGGAAAUCAGUCGAAGAGUGCAAAGGCAGAAGGGAGCUUGACUGCGAGAAGUACAGUUCGAGCAGGGUGGAAACACGGUCUUAGUGAUCCGACGGUGCUGUGUGGAAGGGCCGUCGCUCAACGGAUAAAAGUUACUCUAGGAUAACAGGCUGAUCUCCCCCAAGAGUUCACAUCGACGGGGAGGUUUGGCACCUCGAUGUCGGCUCAUCGCAACCUGGGGCGGAAGUACGUCCCAAGGGUUGGGCUGUUCGCCCAUUAAAGCGGUACGUGAGCUGGGUUCAGAACGUCGUGAGACAGUUCGGUCCAUAUCCGAUGUAGGCGUGAGAAUAUUGAGAGGAGCCUUCCUUAGUACGAGAGGACCGGGAAGGACGCACCGCUGGUGUACCUGUUAUGAUGCCAAUUGUAAACGCAGGGUAGCCAAGUGCGGAGAGGAUAACCGCUGAAAGCAUCUAAGUGGGAAGCCCACCUCAAGAUGAGUAUUCUGGUGUAAGGUCACGGGAAGACGACCCGUAAAUAGGCACGAGGUGGAAGUGCAGAGAUGUAUGAAGCCGAAGUGUACUAAUAGACCGUCGGCUUGACCU
RNAcentral lists this ribosomal RNA (1325 nucleotides) under metagenome. Its description in RNAcentral is "bacterial LSU rRNA". It matches the Rfam family "Bacterial large subunit ribosomal RNA", at positions 1561 to 2925 of the family's 2925-position model. The record is from RNAcentral.